RNAcentral lists this long non-coding RNA (369 nucleotides) under Gadus morhua (Atlantic cod). Its description in RNAcentral is "lncRNA (ENSGMOG00000025630.1)". The record is from RNAcentral. Lineage: Eukaryota; Metazoa; Chordata; Actinopteri; Gadiformes; Gadidae.
AAGCCGGCAUGUGGGCGGUGAGAGGUUUUAUUCUGGUUACAGGACAGGCGUUGACAAAGCCCCGGACAUUCCAGUGAUGGCCACCAGAAGCGCCGUCGCAGGAAGUCCCGGGUCCUCUGAAUGCCGGGAUGGCAGGUGAGCCGGGAAGCAUGGCCCCACUGGAGCACGUCUGAACGGAGGUGUGACGGGACAAACAGGCGGUCAGGUGGACAGGAACUGGGAGCUGGCUGGUCCACAGUGGCGGUUCGUCUCCUGUGUCUCCCAGGGUAUGGAAGCGAUGAGGCAGGAGGCUGGGAUGAUGGUGGAAGGCUUGACCAUCUCAUUGGGACUGUAGAACUUCCCAAGGUACUGCUUUACGGGAGUUUCUGA